CCCUUAGAUGUCCUGGGCUGCACGCGCGCUACACUGAUGUGUCCAGUAAGCACCUAACCUCUUCCGAAAGGAACGGGUAACCUUUGCAAAGCACAUCGUGAUGGGGAUAGAUUAUUGCAAUUAUUAGUCUUGAACGAGGAAUUCCUAGUAAGUACAAGUCAUCAGCUUGUGUUGAUUACGUCCCUGCCCUUUGUACACACCGCCCGUCGCUCCUACCGAUUGAAUGUUCCGGUGAGCUCUUCGGACUGCGCGGUCUGCAGUUUCUGCGUUCCGUGCGGAAAGUUGCGCAAACCUUAACAUUUAGAGGAAGGAGAAGUCGUAACA
RNAcentral lists this ribosomal RNA (324 nucleotides) under uncultured eukaryote. RNAcentral's name for it is "partial 18S ribosomal RNA". It matches the Rfam family "Eukaryotic small subunit ribosomal RNA", at positions 1470 to 1796 of the family's 1831-position model. The record is from RNAcentral.